UACGUAGGGGGCAAGCGUUGUCCGGAUUUAUUGGGCGUAAAGAGCUCGUAGGCGGUUCGACAAGUCGAAUGUGAAAUCUCCACGCUCAACGUGGAGGGGUCAUUCGAAACUGUCGUGACUUGAGUACGGUAGGGGAGUGUGGAAUUCCCGGUGUAGCGGUGAAAUGCGCAGAGAUCGGGAGGAACACCCGUAGCGAAGGCGGCACUCUGGGCCGAUACUGACGCUGAGGAGCGAAAGCGUGGGGAGCAAACAGG
Molecule: ribosomal RNA, 254 nt
Filed under: uncultured bacterium
Lineage: Bacteria
Description: partial 16S ribosomal RNA
Rfam family: Bacterial small subunit ribosomal RNA
Source: RNAcentral